UUACAGCCAUAUCACCUUGAAACACCAGUUAUUGUAUGAUCACCGAAGUUAAGCAAUUCAGUGCCUGGUCAGUACCUAGAUGAAUGACCACUUUAGAAUAUCAGGUGCUGUAAG
Non-coding RNA from Acanthosepion pharaonis, 114 nucleotides. NCBI's taxonomy places the organism in Eukaryota, Metazoa, Mollusca, Cephalopoda, Sepiida, Sepiidae. The record is from the annotation of a GenBank genome assembly.